This 468-nucleotide ribosomal RNA is filed under the name uncultured bacterium. RNAcentral's name for it is "partial 16S ribosomal RNA". It matches the Rfam family "Bacterial small subunit ribosomal RNA", at positions 28 to 507 of the family's 1533-position model. The record is from RNAcentral.
GACGAACGCUGGCGGCGUGCUUAACACAUGCAAGUCGAACGGAAAGGCCCUGCUUUUGUGGGGUGCUCGAGUGGCGAACGGGUGAGUAACACGUGAGUAACCUGCCCUUGACUUUGGGAUAACUUCAGGAAACUGGGGCUAAUACCGGAUAGGAGCUCCUGCUGCAUGGUGGGGGUUGGAAAGUUUCGGCGGGUGGGGAUGGACUCGCGGCUUAUCAGCUUGUUGGUGGGGUAGUGGCUUACCAAGGCUUUGACGGGUAGCCGGCCUGAGAGGGUGACCGGCCACAUUGGGACUGAGAUACGGCCCAGACUCCUACGGGAGGCAGCAGUGGGAAAUAUUGCACAAUGGGCGGAAGCCUGAUGCAGCAACGCCGCGUGCGGGAUGACGGCCUUCGGGUUGUAAACCGCUUUCGCCUGUGACGAAGCGUGAGUGACGGUAAUGGGUAAAGAAGCACCGGCUAACUACGUG